UCGGACUGGCCCAGGGAGGUCGGCAACGACCACCCAGGGCCGGAAAGUUGGUCAAACUCGGUCAUUUAGAGGAAGUAAAAGUCGUAACAAGGUCUCCGUAGGUGAACCUGCGGAGGGAUCAUUA
This 124-nucleotide ribosomal RNA is filed under the name Pseudocercospora palleobrunnea. RNAcentral describes it as "partial 18S ribosomal RNA". It matches the Rfam family "Eukaryotic small subunit ribosomal RNA", at positions 1710 to 1831 of the family's 1831-position model. Lineage: Eukaryota; Fungi; Ascomycota; Dothideomycetes; Mycosphaerellales; Mycosphaerellaceae. The record is from RNAcentral.